CCUACGGGGGGCAGCAGUGAGGAAUAUUGGUCAAUGGACGAGAGUCUGAACCAGCCAAGUAGCGUGAAGGAUGACUGCCCUAUGGGUUGUAAACUUCUUUUAUAUGGGAAUAAAUUGUUCCACGUGUGGGAUUUUGUAUGUACCAUAUGAAUAAGGAUCGGCUAACUACGUGCCAGCCGCCGGGGUAAUACGGAGGAUCCGACCGUUAACCGGAUUUAUUGGGUUUAAAGGGAGCGUAGGUGGGUUUUUUAGUCAGGUGUGAAAGUUUGUGGCUCAAACGUAAGAUUGCAGUUGAAACUGGCAGUCGUGAGUACAAUAGAGGUAGGCGGAAUUCGUGGUGUAGCGGUGAAAUGCUUAGAUAUCACGAAGAACUCCGAUGGCGAAGGCAGCUCACUGGACUGCAACUGACGCUGAGGCACGAAAGUGUGGGGAUCAAACAGGAUUAGAUACCCGGGUAGUC
RNAcentral lists this ribosomal RNA (460 nucleotides) under uncultured bacterium. RNAcentral's name for it is "partial 16S ribosomal RNA". It matches the Rfam family "Bacterial small subunit ribosomal RNA", at positions 338 to 795 of the family's 1533-position model. The record is from RNAcentral.